RNAcentral lists this ribosomal RNA (248 nucleotides) under uncultured Muribaculaceae bacterium. RNAcentral describes it as "partial 16S ribosomal RNA". It matches the Rfam family "Bacterial small subunit ribosomal RNA", at positions 524 to 772 of the family's 1533-position model. The record is from RNAcentral. Lineage: Bacteria; Pseudomonadati; Bacteroidota; Bacteroidia; Bacteroidales; Muribaculaceae.
UACGGAGGAUGCGAGCGUUAUCCGGAUUUAUUGGGUUUAAAGGGUGCGUAGGCGGUCUCUUAAGUCAGCGGUCAAAGCCCGGGGCUCAACCCCGGCCCGCCGUUGAAACUGGGGGACUCGAGUUGGAGAGAAGCAGGCGGAAUGCGCGGUGUAGCGGUGAAAUGCAUAGAUAUCGCGCAGAACCCCGAUUGCGAAGGCAGCCUGCCGGCUCCACACUGACGCUGAGGCACGAAAGCGUGGGUAUCGAA